Long non-coding RNA from Acanthopagrus latus (yellowfin seabream), 2302 nucleotides. RefSeq lists it as uncharacterized. The record is from RefSeq and is a predicted model, not a curated record. Lineage: Eukaryota; Metazoa; Chordata; Actinopteri; Spariformes; Sparidae. The transcript has 2 exons.
UGCAGGUGAGAGGGACUGAGCGAGGUAGGACAAGGACAAACAGACUGAAUUUAUGGAGCAGCUGGAGCCUUAAAGAGAACUCCACUGCACUGCAGAUCAACUCAUCUGUCCUUCAGUAUUAGUUUUGAACCUGAUUUGGCGAAGCGUGGAGGACAGAUCAUUUUGUGUCAGGCCCAAUUUCCCCUUCACCGCCACCGACAGUCUUCUCCACUUCUCUGCCACAUGUACCAGCAUGAGAUGACUCACUGCUGUGGCUGGUUAUUUAGAGCAGGACUUCACUGUGGAUGCUUAGAACUUCUUUUCAUGAAUAAAAAAAACCAAUGUGGGUUUAUACGAUCAGUCCAGCUCCACUGUAAGAUUUCAAUACAUCUAUACUGGCGGCAUUCAACUGAGUUCCACUUUCCAUUAGUCAGAAAGAGGAGCACAACAAAUGUCUUCUGUUCACAUGUUGACUUUCCCUCAAUUUUCUCUCAUUCAACGACUAAAUUCACCUGUCUGCAUCAUCAUCACCACUGACUUGCAUGACAACAUAAACUCCAGGGGGCUCUGUAGUGGGGAAACGCUCAACCUUUAGGUACAACAUAUGGUGAACCACAAAGGUCAAAUAACAAUGAUUCGAAGCUUUGAACUGAUCUCACGGUCUUCUUUCAUUCAGUGGAGCUGGCUCAGGAGUCAUCACAUGACCUUAAUCUGAACUUCCGGUCACAAUAUGGCAAGUGGUCGUAUACAAGGGAAAGCACAAAGCCCUUUGAAACUCAAUCCACUUAAUUAUUUUUAUUUGCAGAUCAUUUUCUCCAUCAAGUAAUUAUUUCUUUAGUAGAGAGAAUGUCAGAAAAUAUAAAAAAAUGCCAACUAUAAUAUCCCAGAGCAAAAGGUGUCAUCUUUAACUUUUUAUGACCUGCAAUUAUUCAGUGUAUCAUCAUAUAUGACCUAUGGAGGAGGUCAACAUGUUAAUUUCUUUUGUAGUUCUGAGAAAAAAAGUCAGAAUUCUGAGAAUAAAGUCAGAAUUCUGAGAUUAAAGUCAGAAUUCUGAGAAAAAAAGUCAGAAUUCUGAGAUUAAAGUCAUGAUGAAGUGAGAAUUAUGGGUAAACUAUCUGUAAGGAGCCAACUUCAAUGGGAGAGUGGCAUGAGAGUUAAUGAAGGAGGGACCCUGAAUAUGUUGGAUUUAUUGGAGUUUCUGCGUGUUCGAGGGGUCCCAGAGGAAGCCAUUGCAGUAGAUGGAAGAGCAAAAGGUGAGAGCAAAAGAAAUACACGUUGGUUUGGUGCAUGGUGUUUUUUCUAAAAACAAAGGCUACAGAUAUGAAGGAUGCUAAAUCCAGAUUUUCUUUGUUUUUACAGACGCCAUGCACCAAACCAACAUUUAUUUCUUUUGCACUCACCUUUCUCAAUAAAUCUGAUAUAUUCAAGUUUUUUGUGUCUUCCCUCCUUCGUUAACUCUCAUGUCACUCUUUCACUGAAGUUGGUUCCUUACAGAUAGUUUACCCAUAAUUCUCACUUCAUUCUGACUUUUUUCUUUUUUCUCAGAAUUCUGACUUUAAUCUCAGAAUUCUGACUUUAAUCUCAGAAUUCUGACUUUAAAGUCAGAACUACAAAAAAAAAUUCACAUGCGGCCCUAAUCCUCUUCCAUAAUGCCCAAACGUUUGCGUUUAUCAAAAAAAAAAAGUUGCAGACAAAUUUUCUGUUGACUGAUCAAUCUUGACGUUGACUGCUCUUUUUGGCCCUUCAACUAAUGAUCAGUCACUCAACUCAAGUCAUUUAUCAGCAACAACUUCACAGCCUACAAAGCCAAAUGCAUCAACAAAAGCACUAAAACACUAAAACCAGAGCCUGCACUUAACCAUGACACACUGAAACCAACAAUCACAUCAGCGCCAACUUGAUGACAGAAUUACACCCUGUAUUUAAUGACUAAAGCAGCCUCAAAACACUGCACAGACAGAUUCUCUUCAAGCGAUAAACAUGCUGCUUGGUGAACGUAUGCCCGAGCCUUCAGUGACUGAGACCGAACCAGAGAAACAGUGAGGCAGCAAACACAAUAGACAGGAGGCAGUGAGAGAGCGAGAGAAGCAGAGUGAUAAACACAACCCAGGCCGUCAGCUCCCCAUUGUCCUGGCCUGAAUGUGCUUUUGUCACUGCAGCAUACAGCCACACAGUCCAGGCCAGUCUAUGACAACGUGCCAGGCGGGCAUCACUUCCAGGCCCUGGCAUGACAAGCGGUGUGAAAGCAGAGUGAACAGCAUGACAGCAAACACGUCAAUGUCUACACACAGCUCGGGAUGAGAAAUACAGCUGUGAAAUAUGA